Molecule: ribosomal RNA, 253 nt
Filed under: uncultured bacterium
Lineage: Bacteria
Description: partial 16S ribosomal RNA
Rfam family: Bacterial small subunit ribosomal RNA
Source: RNAcentral
UACAGAGGUCUCAAGCGUUGUUCGGAAUCACUGGGCGUAAAGGGUGCGUAGGCCGCACGGAAAGUCAGAGGUGAAAUCCCGGAGCUCAACUUCGGAAUUGCCUCCGAUACUCCCGUGCUUGAGGACUGGAGAGGAGUCUGGAAUUCACAGUGGAGCAGUGAAAUGCGUAGAUAUUGGGAGGAACACCAGUGGCGAAGGCGGCUACCUGGACCGGUUCUGACGCUGAGGCGCGAAAGCGUGGGUAGCAAACAGG